AACGCUAGCGACAGGCUUAACACAUGCAAGUCGAGGGGUAACAGGGUAGCAAUACCGCUGACGACCGGCGCACGGGUGAGUAACGCGUAUGCAACCUGCCUAUAACUGGGGAAUAGCUCCCUGAAAGGGGAAUUAACACCGCAUAACACUAUUGAUUCGCAUGGAUUGGUAGUUAAAUGUAGCGAUACAGGUUAUAGAUGGGCAUGCGUGACAUUAGCUAGUUGGUGAGGUAACGGCUCACCAAGGCUACGAUGUCUAGGGGUUCUGAGAGGAAGGUCCCCCACACUGGUACUGAGACACGGACCAGACUCCUACGGGAGGCAGCAGUGAGGAAUAUUGGUCAAUGGGCGCAAGCCUGAACCAGCCAUGUCGCGUGCAGGAAGACUGCCCUAUGGGUUGUAAACUGCUUUUAUAGUAGAAGAAACACAUCUACGUGUAGAUGUCUGCCAGUAUACUAUGAAUAAGCAUCGGCUAACUCCGUG
Molecule: ribosomal RNA, 482 nt
Filed under: uncultured bacterium
Lineage: Bacteria
Description: bacterial SSU rRNA
Rfam family: Bacterial small subunit ribosomal RNA
Source: RNAcentral